This is a non-coding RNA of Arachis ipaensis, 4795 nucleotides long. NCBI's taxonomy places the organism in Eukaryota, Viridiplantae, Streptophyta, Magnoliopsida, Fabales, Fabaceae. The record is from RefSeq and is a predicted model, not a curated record.
UGUCGUUUUGGAGUUAUUUAAAAGGAAAAACAAAAGAAAUUAAAAAGGAAAAAGAAACCUAAGUUAUAUACCCUCCUCAUCACCUUCAAUCUCUCUUUCUUCUCUCAAAGAAAAAGGUGAUAAAUCCUAAGUUCUUCUCUUUUGUUGUAGCAUCUAACUCCUCUGCUCAAGGCACUAGUUUUUUCGCGUUGCAUUGUUAAGAUCCUGUUCAGCAGUUCAUCGCCCCGCAACACACCGACUGCUCGCUCAUCGUUCGUUGUCGCUUUGUCGCCUGUUGUCCGUCGCCAACAUUCUUACUCUCUCUCCCUCGUACUAUGCUAAACCCGAAGGUAAUUUAGUUUUUCUUGUCUUUUUUUUUAUUUUUUUCAAAAUGAUUUAGUUAAAAUCGUUAAAUUGGGUUUAGUUGUGCACUAGGAAUAAUGGAUGCUACAUUUUGAGUUGGUGGCUUGAUUUUGAAUUGAUAAAUAUUUUCAUUUGGAUCAUCUGGGCUGGAAUUUAUUACAUUUCUUCGUAUCUUGUGUUGCGUUGUUUACUUUCUAUCUUGAUAUAAUAAUAACAACAAUGUAAGUUCUUACUACUCUAAUCUAUUCUCUUUGGCUACAUUUGGUUUUUAAAAUAGGACAAGAAAAAAUGCUAAGAACAUAACAUAAAGGACGGAAAUACAAAAUAUAAGAUAGAACAAAUAAUAAAAAGUUUAAUUUACCUUUAUUUUUUUUUCACGCAAAAUUUAGAAUAAAAAUAAAAUAAUAAAAAAUAUAAUUAUGAAAAUUUGAUAUGAUAAUAAAUGAAAAAAAAUUAUGUCACCGUUUAGUGUUUCUGUGCUCUUCCUGUUAGAAAGGACACAAAAUAUACUAAUUAAGUAUCUUAGGACACAAUGUCUUUGUCCAUGUCUCACAUUCCAAAUACGAUUUUGUGUUUCUGUGUCCAUGUCUAAUUGUCCUGUCUUUAUGAACAAAUGCAACCUUUAAGAACUGAGUUUUAUUCAUUCAUUCAUGUUCUUGUUUGUUGUGUCUAUCUUGAUGAGAUCAAUGGCGAAAUAAUGAGUGUUAAUAAUAGAGUAUUUAAUCAAAUUGGAACUCAAAAAAUUUCUAAGUGGGCGUUUUGGUCUCCAACAAAAAUUAAUUACUUAAUUAGUUCUCAGCAUUUUCUGGCAUAAGACAAACUGGUCAUUUUGGACUCAGCUCCAUUAACCACUAACAGAAUGAUCUGAUGUGUCACGUGAAGCUGCUGACUCAGCCAUUAAGUUCCACGUGUUUAAUAAGGACAAAUAUGUCCCUUGCCUGAAUGAUACACAAUGUAACAUUUUAGGACUAGGGCACGACGUUGUUUCAUUAGGAGAGGGUUUUUAAUAGAGUUCCUCUAGGGAGCCAAUGAGUUACCUAUAUAAUGGCUACAAUGGGCUGUUUGUUAGGCCCAAUAUGAAUUAAAAAUGAUGAUUAACCCCUUUUUAACCCUAAUUAACCUAAAUGCUUGUUCAGUUUUGUUUUAACCCCUAUUUUCAAAAUUUUCCCAAUUCCUUUAUUCUGAAUGGAAGGCCACGCUACCACCCAAAACCCCCAUUGUCAAAGCUGAACAUCCCGUCCCAAGCAGCCGUCGUGUGACCUUCGAACUGCAUCCCUGCCGCAUAGGACUUUAACGGACAACCUCCUUCGCGCACAAUCUCCGUUGCUGGCAGCAAUUGCUGGGCACACUGAUGGCUGAGCAUCCCCGUCCAAGGUGCCGCCUGACACAAAGCCUUCGCCGUGCGGCGCUGUCCUCGCUUGAAGCAAUCCGUGCGCUACGUCGCGGUUGAACUCCGGCCGCUCCGUCCCCGCGCGAUCUGGAGCCCUAAUCUCCGUCGACGCGACCUGCAUCACCCAACCUCAUUCGCGCUCGCCGUUCUGUGUCAGCCGGCGGCCUGGGACCUCCUCCUGCGUGACCAUUGGAUGGUUCAAACCUACCAUCAUCGACCUUUAUCGGUUAGUGGCUUGAUGUCUUUUCUCAUGAUUCCUAUUUCUGCUGUUUCUAGUGCUGUAUACUGUUUAUAUUACUGAGUUGCUAAAUUUCUGACAGUGAAAACCUCACUUUGUUGCAUGAUUAUUGUGUCGAAACUUGUUGAUUAAAAUUGUGAUGUGGAUGGUUGCUUUUGAUUUAAUUUUUUUGCUGGAAGAAAUGCAAAAGCUUGGUUCAAAUAUGCCCUUUUUAUUUUCCUUCGAUGUGUGGACCAUUGUUGAUAUCUAGUUGACACUGUGUAGAUGGUUACUUUAGCAGGUUAUUGGAUGGUUGUUUUCCAUCGACAAGCACCUAUUUGCUUAACGGGUUAUUAUUUUUUUUGUAGGGAUUUUGUUUUUUAUUUUCUUUUCCUGUUUAGCAAUUAAUCUUAGUAUCUGAGAACUAUUGUAUAUUCCCUGAGGAAGUGUAAUUGUAUAUUUUCCCAUCAAGUCGAGCUUCGUAUUGCAUAAGACAAUAAAUUGGAAAAUAGGUCUUAAUUUACUAUUUGAUCAUUGUUCAAUAUAACCUUGUUUCCUUGAUUUAUGAAGUGUGAUUUGUUUUUACUUUGCGGAUAUCCUGAUGUGCACAUGAUAAAUUAAAGUGUGAAUAUAUUGGUUAGUUUACCAAACCUUUGGAUGGUCGAUUUUGAUUAUGGUGAAUGCUAUUUUGAUCCUAGUACACUAUCAGCUUGUUUGAACGAGUUGCUGUUUAAUCGGUCUCUUGUUUUUGUAAGUAAGACAAUUCAUACAUGAUGCUAAUUAUAUUAACCUUGUAUUUAUUUUGGAAAAGUUCAAGUUAGAUGUUUAUUUUCACACAUACGACUAACUUUACUUUUAUUAUGACCAUAUCAAUAAGAUCAGUUGAAGACAUAUGAAUCUACAAAAGUCACCGAUUCGCUAUUGCUUUUUUGUUGUUUUUUUCUUCAAGUGGCUAUGUUCUGUUUCAAUAGGUCAUGGAAGUGUGGAUCAAAUCCUUUCAAUUCUCUAAUCACUAAUCUUCUAAUAAAGGUUGCUUUUUGCAUUAAAAAUUACCAUUCUUGCCGAAAAAACUGCUGAUCUAUAUCCUCGAAUUUUAAUGACGUAUAUAUCUUGCUAGUUUGAUGUAUGAUUCAUUAAAUACUCGAAAGAACAAUUUUAUAUGAGUAGCAAAUAUGAUUAGUCUUUUGUCCAUAUUUGGAUGGUUGAUUUUCAUAAAUGAGAAGUUUACUGUGUCGGUAUUCUGUGUGACUAUUGUGAUGUUUGAGGGUUGUCUUGUAUUUUAGUGAGAAACUGUGUACAUGGUCCAUAGACCGUAAUCCAAACUCGGAUAUGCAUACCUAGAUCGACGUGGAACAUAUGGUAAAUUCAAUGAAUAAUUGGAUGGUUGAAUUGCACUGAUUGCUUUGCUGUUUAGGUGUGCCAUAUUUUUGCUUUGUGUGAAUCUGAUUUACCUGCAGGAUUGUUAUGUUUAUAAUUGGCCGAGUCGGACUCUCAGACCACCUAAGUUAUUGCUGUGCACAUCCUUUCUCUUCCUCGGCCUUAUAAUCUUUUGAGUUUUAUUAGCUGGAAUAAUUACAGGAUUUUUUGCUCAUGUUAUCAUAAGUUUCAUCGGUUAAUUAUAAACUCAAUAGAAUCUUGCAUUAGAAUUCAGGUGACCUACUGCAUGAGUAAAAUUUCACGGUGCUCAACAAUCCAUUUCAUACCGUCCGAACGCAAAAUCAGAUGGGUAAAAAGGUAUCACAUUGUUUACAUGAUUGAAAUAAGAUGUUUGAUUAUAUGUUGUGACGUCAUUCUUUUCUUAAUUUUUUCUCAACAGAAAUUAGUCGAGACGCGAUGCUCACCUUGCUACAUCAACAACUUGUUUUCCCACUUGGAACUACAUAAUGAGGACGCUAAGUUGGCUGAGCUUGAGGCUAUUGGAUUUGGUUUUCUGCGGCGGGUACCGCUAUGGCAUGUGAAGCAGAGCAUCAUGCUUCAACUUGCGAGGGCCUAUGACAUGGAAUCAAACACUCUCAGGGUCAACGCAGGGGACAUCCACAUUACCGCCGAACUGAUCAGCAGGGGGACCAAUCCCGGAACUGUAGAAGAAAAAUGUAUCCCAUUUGGCACUUAAGAGACAGUUCCAGAUGAAAACAACAACACAACUGCGGGACUUUGUCUUUGCCUGUCCAAUGGAGAUCGAGCAACAAAGGAUGGCUUUUAAACGAUACUUUAUCCUCGUGGUUUUGAAGAUGUUUCUUUGCCCUACAAGCCAGCAGACUAUUUUCCCAUGGCACCUCCCUCCGAUUUUGGAUGUCUCGAACCCAAGAAGAUUUCACUGGCCGUAUUAGAUAUUAAAGUGGUUGCGAGAUGCAAUAAGAAAAUUCCAAAAUGAGAACCAGGAAAUAUGUGGCGGGUGUAUGUUCGUGUUGCUGGUAUCGCCAAUAAUUUACCUAAAUUUCUACUACAUGUACGUCUUAAGUUGUAAAUCCUAACAUUUGAAUUACUUGUAUCCAGGUUCUGUACUUUCAGCGCUUAAAGCAUGGUCGGUUACAUGCAUGUCAAGCACCCGAGCCUUGGAUUGAUGAAUGGACUGCUAAUGAACUUGAUAAGAAGGCCGACCAUGUUAUUUCACAGGCUGUAUAUGAUUAACACCGGGUCAGUGGUCAUUAAGCUCCUCUGCUUCAGAUCAAACGCUGGGUCAGCGGUCAUCCAAUCUGAACGGGGUGAAGCCCCAUAGACAAAGUCGGAUCUUACGGAUUAGAGAAUGCUGCUCCUUUGGUUCUAGCCUAUACUACAAAGGCCCUAAUCACCCCGCACCUCUGCUGCACUGAUGUCUCGAGAAGUACCCAAUGAAGCCGUAGAUU